ACGGGGUGCAGCAGGCGCGAAACCUUUGCAAUGUGCGCAAGCACGACAAGGUUAAUCCGAGUGUUUCCUGCUAAAGGAAUCUUUUGUUAGUCGUAAAACCACUGAUGAAUAAGGGGUGGGCAAGUUCUGGUGUCAGCCGCCGCGGUAAAACCAGCACCUCAAGUGGUCAGGAGGAUUAUUGGGCCUAAAGCAUCCGUAGCCGGCUCUGCAAGUUUUCGGUUAAAUCCAUUUGCUUAACAAAUGGGCUGCCGAAAAUACUACAUAGCUAGGGAGUGGGAGAGGUAGACGGUAUUCGGUAGGAAGGGGUAAAAUCCUUUGAUCUAUUGAGGACCACCUAUGGCGAAGGCAGUCUACCAGAACACGUUCGACGGUGAGGGAUGAAAGCUGGGGGAGCAAACCGGAUUAGAUACCCGGGUAGUCCCAGCUGUAAACGAUGCAGACUCGGUGAUGCACUGGCUUGUGGCCAGUGCAGUGCCGCAGGGAAGCCGUUAAGUUUGCCGCCUGGGAAGUACGUACGCAAGUAUGAAACUUAAAGGAAUUGGCGGGGGAGCAC
Molecule: ribosomal RNA, 553 nt
Filed under: uncultured Nitrososphaerota archaeon
Lineage: Archaea; Thermoproteati; Nitrososphaerota
Description: bacterial SSU rRNA
Rfam family: Archaeal small subunit ribosomal RNA
Source: RNAcentral